UUUUUUUUUUUUUAAUUUAAAUCAGUUUUAUUUAAGAAUUUCCAACAGUGACAACUCUUAUAAAAAGCAUCCAAGCACAGGACACAGAACUGCAGCAAACAGCAUUCUUAUGGGUAGCUAACAGACAUGAGAACUUCCACCCUGCUUUGAGACACCCCGAGCUCACUGGUGAACUCUGCUUCCAAGUACUCCUGCAAAGCACACCACAAGCUCAGUCCAUGUUCUCAACCCAUCAGCUUCAGUUCACAUUACCACACUUACAGAUCAGUAACAGAAGAGAACACACACCAUACAGCAUUCACAGCAGUUGACAAAGGGGUAGGGGAAAUACAAGUAUUGUUUCAUUUAACACAUUCAGCUAACGUGGGUCAUCUAAGAACAAAACUCACUUAAAAGUCUUCCAACAGAUGUGGAUGUCCUUUGAAUGCAAAAACAUUCGUACAUUAUUUGCUAUCCUUGCUCUCUGCACACUCUCUCACCAAAACCACAGGAUUGAGAGACACAUCUCGCCAAGUUAAAAAAUAUCCAUUAUGCACCACCAAGUCUCUGCACACGCUCUCUCCUUUUCUCGCUCAUACUAGUCUCUCAUGCCUCGGCACCACCAUCAAUCCCACACAAGGUUUCAAAAGUUCAAACAGCCUUCUGGUUCCAUAUCAUAGCCUUACGUUCAUAGCGUUGAUACGACUCCAUGAAAUAAAGAGUAGCGGAUAAAAAUGGGACACCCACCGUCAAAGACGCAGCCUGCACAGCAUGAUGGCGAGUUCUUGAAUGAGAAAGCAUGUAGACAGAAGUAUUCCUAUGGCAGAAUAUUUACAGCACUACUUUCAAUGAAGUGCUUCUUCCAUAAACAUUUGAAAUGAGAUGAACUGCAGAGAUUAAAUGAAGGCUUCAUAUUGUACUUUUGUAUAUGAAGGGAGACAAGUGUUGAAACAAAAACAAAAAAAACAAAAGAACCAACCACUGUGACACCAUGAUCUCCAAAGAGGAGAUUUUCCUAAGGAAAGAAAUCUAUAUGGUGGGGUUCAAAUUAAAACAAGGAGAAAAGAAUGUAGUCCUAAUCAAUGGUUUCCAUUGUGAACAUGCAAAGAAUUCACUUGACAGUCCAGGGAUAAAAUAUUACAGGAGAAACCCUUUGAUAUCAAUUGUUGUGUGUUGGUUUACCAAUCAGGCAAACAGCAGUUCACGUUCAAACGCUCAAU
Molecule: long non-coding RNA, 1199 nt
Organism: Bos taurus (domestic cattle)
Lineage: Eukaryota; Metazoa; Chordata; Mammalia; Artiodactyla; Bovidae
Source: Ensembl